UACGUAGGGUGCAAGCGUUGUCCGGAAUUAUUGGGCGUAAAGAGCUCGUAGGCGGUUUGUCGCGUCGGCUGUGAAAACUCGGGGCUCAACCCCGGACUUGCGGUGGGUACGGGCAGACUAGAGUGUGGUAGGGGAGACUGGAAUUCCUGGUGUAGCGGUGAAAUGCGCAGAUAUCAGGAGGAACACCGAUGGCGAAGGCAGGUCUGCUGGGCCACUACUGACGCUGAGAAGCGAAAGGCGUGGGGAGCGAACAGG
This 255-nucleotide ribosomal RNA is filed under the name uncultured bacterium. Its description in RNAcentral is "partial 16S ribosomal RNA". It matches the Rfam family "Bacterial small subunit ribosomal RNA", at positions 524 to 776 of the family's 1533-position model. The record is from RNAcentral.